Molecule: non-coding RNA, 125 nt
Organism: Gossypium arboreum
Lineage: Eukaryota; Viridiplantae; Streptophyta; Magnoliopsida; Malvales; Malvaceae
Source: Rfam
AAUGGGAGAACGACAAAUCAGAUUUUUGCUCUCUUGAUUUUCAAUUUUUUUCUUUUGACAAAAUUCAAAUCUAACUAAAAAUGCUGAAAAUCAAAAGGAAAAAUCUAAUUUGUUAUUCUUCCAUU